RNAcentral lists this ribosomal RNA (484 nucleotides) under uncultured bacterium. RNAcentral's name for it is "partial 16S ribosomal RNA". It matches the Rfam family "Bacterial small subunit ribosomal RNA", at positions 28 to 507 of the family's 1533-position model. The record is from RNAcentral.
AUUGAACGCUGGCGGCAUGCUUUACACAUGCAAGUCGAACGGCAGCGCGGGCUUCGGCCUGGCGGCGAGUGGCGAACGGGUGAGUAAUGCAUCGGAACGUGCCCAGUAGUGGGGGGUAGCCCGGCGAAAGCCGGCUUAAUACCGCAUACGACCUGAGUGUGAAAGCGGGGGAGCGAAAGGCCUCGCGCUAUUGGAGCGGCAGAUGUCGGAUUAGCUAGUUGGUGGGGUAAAGGCUUACCAAGGCGACGAUCCGUAGCUGGUCUGAGAGGACGACCAGCCACACUGGGACUGAGACACGGCCCAGACUCCUACGGGAGGCAGCAGUGGGGAAUUUUAGACAAUGGGGGCAACCCUGAUCCAGCCAUGCCGCGUGCGGGAAGAAGGCCUUCGGGUUGUAAACCGCUUUUGUUCGGGAAGAAAUCCUCUGGGCUAAUACCCCGGGGGGAUGACGGUACCGGAAGAAUAAGCACCGGCUAACUACGUG